This 497-nucleotide ribosomal RNA is filed under the name uncultured bacterium. RNAcentral describes it as "partial 16S ribosomal RNA". It matches the Rfam family "Bacterial small subunit ribosomal RNA", at positions 28 to 507 of the family's 1533-position model. The record is from RNAcentral.
GAUGAACGCUGGCGGCGUGCCUAAUACAUGCAAGUCGAGCGAACAGACGAGGAGCUUGCUCCUCUGACGUUAGCGGCGGACGGGUGAGUAACACGUGGAUAACCUACCUAUAAGACUGGGAUAACUUCGGGAAACCGGAGCUAAUACCGGAUAAUAUAUUGAACCGCAUGGUUCAAUAGUGAAAGACGGUUUUGCUGUCACUUCUAGAUGGUUCCGCGCCGCAUUAGCUAGUUGGUAAGGUAACGGCUUACCAAGACGACGAUGCGUAGCCGACCUGGGAGGGGGAUCGGCCACACUGGAACUGAGACACGGUCCAGACUCCUACGGGAGGCAGCAGUAGGGAAUCUUCCGCAGUGGGCGAAAGCCUGACGGAGCAACGCCGCGUGAGUGAUGAAGGUCUUCGGAUCUUAAAACUCUGUUAUUAGGGAAGAACAAAUGUGUAAGUAACUAUGCACGUCUUGACGGUACCUAAUCAGAAAGCCACGGCUAACUACGUG